Arachis ipaensis is the source of this 2091-nucleotide non-coding RNA. Lineage: Eukaryota; Viridiplantae; Streptophyta; Magnoliopsida; Fabales; Fabaceae. The record is from RefSeq and is a predicted model, not a curated record.
AACUGACUGGAUAAUUUAUUACAUCGUUUCGUUUUGAUCGUUACAGACACCGAUUGAAGUGCAGAACCUCCAACUACUCCGUUCCUGCACGGCAUGAACGACUACCAUAACUAUAACCAUAGCCAUAACCAUAACCGCACUUAAACUAAACCAUGGCUUUGAGAUGGCCGCUCCUACUGCGGUUCCGUUCUCAACAACCUCUGCUCGCUCCAACUAACUUUGCCGCCUUCUCCGAUCUCGCCGAACCGCGUGCUUUUGACGUGCCGUGUCUUCCUUCCGUGAAUCUACUCCACCGGAGCAAUGUUUUGGCUCCGGCACUGAAGCUGAAGGUUCUGGCGCCGUACGUCGUCAAAUGCCUCGCCAGAUCCACAGAGGAGAAGCAAUGGAGCGACGCCGAAACAGUCGUCUCUGAUUCCGACGAAGCUGCUUCUGAGGAUGACGGAAACGGUCAGCUUCGGAGCCGAACCUCUGCUUCGGAAACUGACCGUCUUGAGUCUCCGAGAGUUGCGACUCCCUCCUCCGGCGACUCUCUUUCGCUUGGAAUUCGAGAACCGGUUUACGAAGUUGUGGAAGUGAGAUCAGAUGGAACAGUAUCGACAAGAAAAAUCAAUAGGAGACAAUUGUUGAAGUCAAGUGGUCUUCGUCCUCGGGACAUUCGAAGUGUGGAUCCGUCUUUGUUUUUGACGAAUUCGGUACCCUCUUUGCUGGUUCGUGAGUAUGCGAUACUUCUAAAUCUGGGCUCCCUUCGAGCAAUAGCAAUGAAAGAUUGUGUACUUAUAUUUGACUAUAAUCGUAAAGGAGGGCAAGCUUUUCUGGAGUCAUUGUUGCCCAGGUUGAACCCCAAGAACAGUAAUGGAGGGCCAUCAAUGCCAUUUGAACUCGAGGCUGUUGAAGCAGCAUUGCUUUCAAGAAUACAGCGUUUAGAGCGCAGACUGAUGGACUUAGAACCUCGAGUGCAGGCUCUUCUUGAAGCCUUGCCAAAUCGAUUAACGGGUGACAUAUUGGAGCAACUUCGUAUUAGCAAACAAACUUUGGUUGAGUUAGGUUCUAGGGCUGGCGCUCUUAGGCAGAUGCUGCUCGACCUUUUGGAAGAUCCCCAUGAAAUACGCCGUAUAUGUAUUAUGGGAAGAAACUGCACGGUUACAAAAGGAGACAAUUUGGUCGAAUGCUCUGUACCCUUAGAGAAGCAGAUUGCCGAAGAGGAGGAGGAGGAAAUUGAGAUGCUUCUUGAAAAUUAUCUUCAAAGAUGUGAAUCUUGUCAUGGUCAAGCUGAAAGGCUUCUUGAUUCUGCAAGGGAAAUGGAAGAUUCUAUAGCAGUCAGUUUGAGCUCACGAAGGCUUGAGGUUAGCCGAGUGGAACUGCUUCUCCAAGUAGGAACAUUCUGUGUGGCAGUUGGUGCACUUGUAGCAGGUACAGAUUUUUGGCAAUGGUUUGAUAUAGUUUGUACAGUAUAUUUGGCAUGAACCUGAAGUCAUAUCUUGAAGAGCAUGUGUUUGCAUUUUGGCUGACGACAGCUGGAAUAAUUGUCGGUGCUGUUGUUGCUUUUUUCCUUAUGUAUUUCUACCUCAAGGCAAGGAAAAUAUUUUGAUUGGAAGAAACUUCAAAAAUUAGGUGAUAUCAGAUCAUGAAGAAAACUAAGCACUCAAUGAAUGCAGUGAUUGUGCAUGAGGACCAUCCAGAAUGAAUUGGAAAGUGUGUGCAAUAUUACCGGCAUUAGUCAAUUACCAAUCAAUCGGCAAGAAUUGGUUUCCAUUCUUAUUUAGGAAGGGAGUAGAGCAUUGUUUUGUUGUUUAAUGAUUUCAGAGUGGUUAUAAUAGUCAUAAUCGACGAUCAGCCAUCGAGAUCCUACAUCUGGUUGUUGCUCGUGCCCGUACGUGCUAAAACAAUACACAUUCACGCUAUAUGCAUCAAGACAGGAAGUUGAACACUCCCCCAGCAAGAAGCAUUUUAGUUGGGAAUUUUUUAGGGUGCUGGUGUGUGUGGAAUAUUGGAAUGGGCAAGAUUAGAAAAAUGACAUCCAAACACGGUACAGGAUCGAUCCAAUCUUUUUUUUUUAUGUGGAAAUUAAGUACGACUAAUAUUCCCAAUGAA